UCAGCAACCAAAUCCGUCGGUCACCGAAUUCAGUAAUCUCCGUCUCUUUGUCCAUUCUCUCUGACAAGCAUGUUCUCCUAUGGGACACGAAGUACAUGAAGAGGAAUGAAGAAGCCCAUGUUUGAUGCUCGUCUCCAGGGUGGAGAAUUUAAUUUAUAAGUAAUGAAGUGGCAUCUGACACGUGACAAGCUGCUCCUGUUUGCACAGCAACUUCAACAUUGUGUACUGUGAUCACGGCCUAGUUCAGAGGUAGAACAAGGUGAUCCUCUCAAUUUUACACUCCUUUACUGAUGGUUCCAGUGCCAGAGAAAAACCCACCACCAUUAACCUAGACCUGCUGAAACAGAAGAGAUUACCUUCUUCUACAGAAAACUUCCAUAUGACUGCUUCGGAACGCAUGCUGCAGACAUGAAGUAACCUUCAUCUUCCAGUGAUUAAUAAUCCUGGACGGCCCAGAUAGAGAGAGACUAUUCUAUUAUAAAGA
Pelobates fuscus (common spadefoot toad) is the source of this 484-nucleotide long non-coding RNA. RefSeq lists it as uncharacterized. The record is from RefSeq and is a predicted model, not a curated record. Lineage: Eukaryota; Metazoa; Chordata; Amphibia; Anura; Pelobatidae. The transcript has 3 exons.